GCCAGGCAUGGUAGCGCAGGCCUGUAGUCCCAGCUACUAGGGAGGCUGAGGCGGGAGGAUUGCUUGAGCCUGGGGAGUCUGAGGCUGCAGUGAGCCGUGAUCAUGUCACUGCACUCCAGCCCGAGUGACAGAGUGAGACCCUAUCUCAA
This is a non-coding RNA of Gorilla gorilla gorilla (western lowland gorilla), 149 nucleotides long. It matches the Rfam family "Metazoan signal recognition particle RNA". Rfam says of the family: The signal recognition particle (SRP) is a universally conserved ribonucleoprotein. It is involved in the co-translational targeting of proteins to membranes. The eukaryotic SRP consists of a 300-nucleotide 7S RNA and six proteins: SRPs 72, 68, 54, 19, 14, and 9. NCBI's taxonomy places the organism in Eukaryota, Metazoa, Chordata, Mammalia, Primates, Hominidae. The record is from Rfam.